RNAcentral lists this long non-coding RNA (1170 nucleotides) under Gossypium barbadense (sea-island cotton). RNAcentral describes it as "long non-coding RNA (GBAR_LNC014341)". The record is from RNAcentral. Lineage: Eukaryota; Viridiplantae; Streptophyta; Magnoliopsida; Malvales; Malvaceae.
CACCAUUAAAGAGAUAACGGAGCUUAACGAUAAAAUAAUCACUUCAUAACAAAAUAAUAACAUAAAUGAUUAAAUUAAAUGUAAUCUAAAGCAAAUAAAUUUACCCUAUUUUUUUUAGGUUCCUACACUUUUCUUUCUCAUCUUGGUCUCUCGAGGUAAAAAUUUGUGACUAGGCGGUGACCUUCGAGCCGUCCGUCGACCUCUUUGCUUCCCCCGUCUCUGUUCUCUUCUCCUGAAGAUUGGUUGCCGACCUUAUCGUCAGCGCCGAACUUCUCCCUUCUCCCUUCCCCCUCCCUCUUCCCUGAUCACCUUCCUCUCUCCCUCCUUUCCCUUGCUUCCCUCCUCUUGCUAAUAUAUAUAUAUAUAUUUGUUUUUUGUUUCUGGAGUGGUUACUAUAUGGGUUGCGAUCUUUGACCACUCUGGAACAAUCAGUUUCCUUUCCUCUCUCACCAUCUUUUCUCCGUUUUCACCUUUUGCUCGCCUCCCCCCUCCACCCCUCUCGUCCCUCCUGCUUCCCCAUGCCAGCCGCUCUCAGUUUCCGGGAGUUUUUGUCUCGGGUUAAAUAAAUGUUGGCCUCGUGUCCUUCUCGCUCCCUCAUUGGAGGUCUUAUCGAGUCGAUUAGGACCCAUUCGCUCAAAUCUGGUGUUUCGAUUUGCUCGAGACUUGUGAUAUGAUUUUCUUAAGGCUUGAUUGACUUGAUUAUUUUCUUGGCCUAAUCUAAACGGUUUAAACGAGUUAGAUGAUCCGAGAUGGACUCUUCGUCGAGAGCAAAUAUCAUACGCCAAUCAACGUGUUUGUUUGUUGAUGGCUGACGUCUUCCUUAGGAUCAGAAGCUCUAGUUGUGAUGGGUAUUCCUGAGAUUUGGCGAUUUUCUCAGUAUAGCUCGUCUGUUGGCAAGCGUUUACACCGUGUUCUUUGAUUUAUUUUUCUUCGAACUUAUGUUUGAAUGUAUAAAAUCUUUUUGCUUCUUUCUUUGUACGAAUUCCAAAUCAAUGGAAAUCUUUCACGUCCAAGAAAAGAAAUUAAGAAUCGGAGCACUAUUAGUGGGAAGAAAACAUUGAACUGGUAGGAGUUAAAUGAUGAAUUAUAUUUAAAAAUUUAAAAAUUUAAAAUAAAUGAACACAGCUACUUAUGGAUUCUUUUUUCUUUUCACUGGGUCUACCUACUAAC